AUGAUACAUCUCGCUACCCGAUGGUCUGACCAGCAUUUGGUGCCUCUCACAGAGUGGGUGUUGUACACAUCUUUAAUGUCUUUAGACUGUACUGUAUGCCUCCAUGUUGUCUUAUAUUUAUUGGCCUGUUGGAAAACUUUGUUGGUAAUAGUUAGACUGAACUCUGCACACUUGGAGAGAAGUAGUUGACCGUUGGAGUUUGACCUUCUAAUGCCGUGAUGGCCUAGCACCCUGUUCCGGGUGUCAGAGUUGGCUCACACUCGCGCACUAAAGUCGCCAAGGACAAUGAAUUUGUCCUGGUGUGGCACCCCUCUGACCUGCUGAGAUCUUCAUGAAACGCCUCCUUGGACUCUCACAGCUGUCUAUCAUGGGGAAAAUCCUUGCAUGGGUUGUUCUCAAUAGGCUCGUGUCUCAUCUAGUGGAUUUGGUGUGUCCAGAGUCACCAUGGGGUUUUCAUGCUGGCCGUGGCACCAAGGACAUGAUUUUUGCAGGCCAACAAACACAAGAGAAGGCUCGUGAACACAACAGAGAUGUGUACAUGGUGUUUGUUGACCUGCCCAAAGCCUUUGACAUGGUGAAUUGUGAGGGCCUAUGGAAACUCCUUCAUAAAUCUGGCUGCCCAGAGAAGCUGAUUGCUGUCAUCUGCGCAUUUCAUGACGGCAUGAUGGCCAGGGUGAUGGAGGGUGGUGGCUCAUCAGAAGCCUUCCCCGUCACCAAGGGCACCAAACAAGGAUGCGAAAUGGCUCCAGUUCUCUUUGCCAUUGUCUUUCCAGCCAUGCUCGUUUGCAUCCCAGGACUUGACAGAGGCGCACACAUCGGUUCAGAUUGGCUGGGCUCUAGCGACUCAGAUUCUGCACCAGGGCGAUCGAUGAGCCACUGGAAGAGCUCCUGUGUGCUGAUGACUGUGCCCUCAUUGCGCGCACACUCGAGGACAUUCAUCUUAUUGUGGGCGCUUUGCCUAGGCCUCAAAAUGCCUCGGUUCCACGCUCGGCCUGACAAAGACACAGGUCACGUCCCAGCCAGCCCCAGACCACCGGCAUCACAAGCACCUGAUCCCAUCGUCACAGCUGACAACACACCCCUCAAGUCAGGUGGGAAAUCCGUCUGCCUGCAUUGCACACUUCCCAGCAACGCCACGCUGGGUGAGGAGAUCGCUCAGCGCCAGGCGCAGGCCAGCUUGGCACUUGGCAGGCUCACCCACGGGCUCUGGAGGGAGCGUGGAGUCUGCCUCAGAACCAAGAGAAACAACCUACCAGGCUGUUGUACUCACCUCACUCCUCUACGGCUGUG
Molecule: long non-coding RNA, 1290 nt
Filed under: Chrysemys picta bellii (western painted turtle)
Lineage: Eukaryota; Metazoa; Chordata; Testudines; Emydidae
Description: lncRNA (ENSCPBG00000015614.1)
Source: RNAcentral